UGCCCAAGAGAUCGGGAUAACACCUGGAAACAGAUGCUAAUACCGGAUAACAACAGAUGAUGCCUAUCAACUGUUUAAAAGAUGGUUCUGCUAUCACUCUUGGAUGGACCUGCGGUGCAUUAGCUAGUUGGUAGGGUAACGGCCUACCAAGGCGAUGAUGCAUAGCCGAGUUCGAGAGACUGAUCGGCCACAUUGGGACUGAGACACGGCCCAAACUCCUACGGGAGGCAGCAGCU
Molecule: ribosomal RNA, 236 nt
Filed under: uncultured Lactobacillus sp.
Lineage: Bacteria; Bacillati; Bacillota; Bacilli; Lactobacillales; Lactobacillaceae
Description: partial 16S ribosomal RNA
Rfam family: Bacterial small subunit ribosomal RNA
Source: RNAcentral